Molecule: ribosomal RNA, 655 nt
Filed under: Escherichia coli
Lineage: Bacteria; Pseudomonadati; Pseudomonadota; Gammaproteobacteria; Enterobacterales; Enterobacteriaceae
Description: partial 23S ribosomal RNA
Rfam family: Bacterial large subunit ribosomal RNA
Source: RNAcentral
AAUGGGUCAGCGACUUAUAUUCUGUAGCAAGGUUAACCGAAUAGGGGAGCCGAAGGGAAACCGAGUCUUAACUGGGCGUUAAGUUGCAGGGUAUAGACCCGAAACCCGGUGAUCUAGCCAUGGGCAGGUUGAAGGUUGGGUAACACUAACUGGAGGACCGAACCGACUAAUGUUGAAAAAUUAGCGGAUGACUUGUGGCUGGGGGUGAAAGGCCAAUCAAACCGGGAGAUAGCUGGUUCUCCCCGAAAGCUAUUUAGGUAGCGCCUCGUGAAUUCAUCUCCGGGGGUAGAGCACUGUUUCGGCAAGGGGGUCAUCCCGACUUACCAACCCGAUGCAAACUGCGAAUACCGGAGAAUGUUAUCACGGGAGACACACGGCGGGUGCUAACGUCCGUCGUGAAGAGGGAAACAACCCAGACCGCCAGCUAAGGUCCCAAAGUCAUGGUUAAGUGGGAAACGAUGUGGGAAGGCCCAGACAGCCAGGAUGUUGGCUUAGAAGCAGCCAUCAUUUAAAGAAAGCGUAAUAGCUCACUGGUCGAGUCGGCCUGCGCGGAAGAUGUAACGGGGCUAAACCAUGCACCGAAGCUGCGGCAGCGACACUAAGUGUUGUUGGGUAGGGGAGCGUUCUGUAAGCCUGUGAAGGUGUACUGUGAGGU